GUAGGUGGCAAGCGUUGUCCGGAAUUAUUGGGCGUAAAGCGCGCGCAGGCGGUUCUUUAAGUCUGAUGUGAAAGCCCACGGCUCAACCGUGGAGGGUCAUUGGAAACUGGAGAACUUGAGUACAGAAGAGGAAAGCGGAAUUCCACGUGUAGCGGUGAAAUGCGUAGAGAUGUGGAGGAACACCAGUGGCGAAGGCGGCUUUCUGGUCUGUAACUGACGCUGAGGCGCGAAAGCGUGGGGGAGCAAACAGGAUUAGAUACCCUGGUAGUCCACGCCGUAAACGAUGAGUGCUAAGUGUUAGGGGGUUUCCGCCCCUUAGUGCUGCAGCUAACGCAUUAAGGCACUCCGCCUGGGAGUAACGGCCGCAAGGCUG
This 373-nucleotide ribosomal RNA is filed under the name uncultured organism. Its description in RNAcentral is "partial 16S ribosomal RNA". It matches the Rfam family "Bacterial small subunit ribosomal RNA", at positions 527 to 896 of the family's 1533-position model. The record is from RNAcentral.